GCAUAUCAAUAAGCGGAGGAAAAGAAACCAACAGGGAUUGCCUCAGUAACGGCGAGUGAAGCGGCAACAGCUCAAAUUUGAAAUCUGGCUCCUUCGGGGUCCGAGUUGUAAUUUGCAGAGGAUGCGUCGGGUACGGGUCCCUACCGAGUUCCCUGGAACGGGACGCCAUAGAGGGUGAGAGCCCCGUCUGGUAGGAUACCCAGCCCAUGUGACGCUCCCUCGACGAGUCGAGUAGUUUGGGAAUGCUGCUCUAACGGGAGGUAUACUCCUUCCAAAGCUAAAUACCGGCUGGAGACCGAUAGCGCACAAGUAGAGUGAUCGAAAGAUGAAAAGCACUUUGAAAAGAGAGUCAAACAGCACGUGAAAUUGUUAAAAGGGAAGCACUCGCUACCAGACUUGGGUUUGGCGGUUCAACCGGGGCCACGCCCCGGGGCAUUCCGCCAGCUCAGGCCAGCAUCAGCUUUCCGUCGGGGGCAAAGACGUCGGGAAUGUGGCUCCCCUUCGGGGGAGUGUUAUAGCCCGGCGUGUCAUACCCUUCGGGGGGCUGAGGUACGCGCUUCUGCAAGGAUGCUGGCGUAAUGGUAGCUAGUGACCCGUCUUGAAACACGGACCAAGGAGUCAACCUUAUGUGCGAGUGCCCGGGCGUAAAACCCCAGCGCGGAAUGAAAGUGAACGUAGGUGAGAGCUUCGGCGCAUCACCGACCGAUCCUGAUGUCCUCGGACGGAUUUGAGUGAGAGCAUAUAGGGUUGGACCCGAAAGAAGAUGAACUAUGCGUGUGUAGGGUGAAGCCAGAGGAAACUCUGGUGGAGGCUCGCAGCGGUUCUGACGUGCAAAUCGAUCGUCAAACAUGCGCAUGGGGGCGAAAGACUAAUCGAAUCUUCUGGUAGCUGGUUUC
This 896-nucleotide ribosomal RNA is filed under the name Plectosphaerella plurivora. Its description in RNAcentral is "eukaryotic LSU rRNA". It matches the Rfam family "Eukaryotic large subunit ribosomal RNA", at positions 38 to 958 of the family's 3401-position model. Lineage: Eukaryota; Fungi; Ascomycota; Sordariomycetes; Glomerellales; Plectosphaerellaceae. The record is from RNAcentral.